Molecule: long non-coding RNA, 513 nt
Organism: Leptinotarsa decemlineata (Colorado potato beetle)
Lineage: Eukaryota; Metazoa; Arthropoda; Insecta; Coleoptera; Chrysomelidae
Source: RefSeq, a predicted model, not a curated record
CUCUGACAGAAUUUGCAAAGUAUUUCCCAAAAAUAUUUGCUACCUGUGUUUUAUCUGCUAAUAUUUCAUCAUCUACAUUUAAUGUCAUUUCCUGUUUUUUACUUUUUACGUGGUUAGUCUUGAUAUUUACCAAAUUCCAAAAAGCCUUUGCCUUGUUAUCAGAGAAGGCAACAAUGAAAAAACUCUUCAAAAAUGCAAGGACGUCAAGUGUAUGGAACCAAUACAAAAAGUACCUUAAAAAGCUCUGAGGAAAUCUAAGAAAUACUCGUGAAGGAUGCAAUGUAAAGAGAGUAGUGGAUUUGGAAACAAUUGCAAGUUUCUCAUAUCACAAACAGUUCUAUGCAUUACUAAGUCUUGACUAUGGUUAACCAUGUAAAUAUUUGAAAUGGAAGCACAAGAUGUAAUGGUUGGAAGCUCAUUCCUGAUCGAGUAGUAGUCUGUCAGUCAAUAGAAACGAUAGUGAUGUUGUUGUGUUACUGUGAUAUAAAUAAAGUGUAUUUCACAACCCCGAAA